AGAGAGAGAGAGAGAGUUAUAGAUGUGCAAGGCAUAAAUGCAUCAAGGCAAGAUCCAAGCAGCUUUAAGAAAAUUAGAAAGAAGAAAAAUGGCAAAUAUUUUUGAACUUCACUUUUUGGUUCUUGAGUUCCCUUAUGCAAGUGCUAGGAAAAUAUGCACUUAUGAUAUGAAUGAUUCGCAGCUAGCAGAAGGAAGGAAGGAAGUAAUAAGCAAGGAGCAGUACUUAAUUAUAUCACAUCAAUCCCAAAUCUCUAAUGCAUGUGGAUGGGAUCCUACCUAACUUCUUCAGUUGUGCUUUAUUAGAUAAUAUGCUGUGUCUAAUUGCUUUCUUAAAGGAACGCCUAGGCUAAAUCUUAACUAAAACUUACCCAGAAGGGGAAAGGUGGAAAUGUAUUCAGAAUGUCUGUCAUAAAUUUAGAAGAAAAUCUUGCUAUAGUGAAUAAAGAAAUGAAGAUAAUAAAACCACAUCUCCAUACUCUAGUGAGACAAAACAUAAUGAAAGAAAGAAAGAGAGAGAGAAAAGCAUCUAUGAUCCUAAGUUCGAACUAGAACAAUUAAGAGACUGUUCAAUUCUGUUACUUAUUUUAAUUCCUUUUACUAAAAAGGUCAACUUUAAUUGACCCUUAAUUAGAAUCUAUAAUUACAAUAAGUGACUGUAUUGAAAAACAAGAAAAAAACAUAGUUUCGUACCUUCCCUUCAGCUCUUAACUUGUCAUUACAUUUAGGAGAAUCUCCAACUGCUUCACAUCUCUUGAAAGAUCUCUCUGUAAUAGGAGGAGUAGAGGUAGGACUAGGGCUACUUGAACUAAGGUCA
This 814-nucleotide unclassified non-coding RNA is filed under the name Hevea brasiliensis (rubber tree). Lineage: Eukaryota; Viridiplantae; Streptophyta; Magnoliopsida; Malpighiales; Euphorbiaceae. The record is from RNAcentral.